AGCAACAAAUGCCCUGCUUCCAGGAAAAGCCUCUAAGCAUCAGGUAACAUCAAAUCGUACCCCAAACCGACACAGGUGGUCAGGUAGAGAAUACCAAGGCGCUUGAGAGAACUCGGGUGAAGGAACUAGGCAAAAUGGUGCCGUAACUUCGGGAGAAGGCACGCUGACACGUAGGUGAAGUGAUUUACUCAUGGAGCUGAAGUCAGUCGAAGAUACCAGCUGGCUGCAACUGUUUAUUAAAAACACAGCACUGUGCAAACACGAAAGUGGACGUAUACGGUGUGACGCCUGCCCGGUGCCGGAAGGUUAAUUGAUGGGGUCAGCGCAAGCGAAGCUCCUGAUCGAAGCCCCGGUAAACGGCGGCCGUAACUAUAACGGUCCUAAGGUAGCGAAAUUCCUUGUCGGGUAAGUUCCGACCUGCACGAAUGGCGUAAUGAUGGCCAGGCUGUCUCCACCCGAGACUCAGUGAAAUUGAACUCGCUGUGAAGAUGCAGUGUACCCGCGGCAAGACGGAAAGACCCCGUGAACCUUUACUAUAGCUUGACACUGAACAUUGAGCCUUGAUGUGUAGGAUAGGUGGGAGGCUUUGAAGUGUGGACGCCAGUCUGCAUGGAGCCGACCUUGAAAUACCACCCUUUAAUGUUUGAUGUUCUAACGUGGACCCGUGAUCCGGGUUGCGGACAGUGUCUGGUGGGUAGUUUGACUGGGGCGGUCUCCUCCUAAAGAGUAACGGAGGAGCACGAAGGUUGGCUAAUCCUGGUCGGACAUCAGGAGGUUAGUGCAAUGGCAUAAGCCAGCUUGACUGCGAGCGUGACGGCGCGAGCAGGUGCGAAAGCAGGUCAUAGUGAUCCGGUGGUUCUGAAUGGAAGGGCCAUCGCUCAACGGAUAAAAGGUACUCCGGGGAUAACAGGCUGAUACCGCCCAAGAGUUCAUAUCGACGGCGGUGUUUGGCACCUCGAUGUCGGCUCAUCACAUCCUGGGGCUGAAGUAGGUCCCAAGGGUAUGGCUGUUCGCCAUUUAAAGUGGUACGCGAGCUGGGUUUAGAACGUCGUGAGACAGUUCGGUCCCUAUCUGCCGUGGGCGCUGGAGAACUGAGGGGGGCUGCUCCUAGUACGAGAGGACCGGAGUGGACGCAUCACUGGUGUUCGGGUUGUCAUGCCAAUGGCACUGCCCGGUAGCUAAAUGCGGAAGAGAUAAGUGCUGAAAGCAUCUAAGCACGAAACUUGCCCCGAGAUGAGUUCUCCCUGAGACUUAGAGUCUCCUGAAGGAACGUUGAAGACGACGACGUUGAUAGGCCGGGUGUGUAAGCGCAGCGAUGCGUUGAGCUAACCGGUACUAAUGAACCGUGAGGCUUAACCUUACAAC
This 1365-nucleotide ribosomal RNA is filed under the name Salmonella enterica subsp. enterica. RNAcentral describes it as "partial 23S ribosomal RNA". It matches the Rfam family "Bacterial large subunit ribosomal RNA", at positions 1589 to 2925 of the family's 2925-position model. Lineage: Bacteria; Pseudomonadati; Pseudomonadota; Gammaproteobacteria; Enterobacterales; Enterobacteriaceae. The record is from RNAcentral.